AGACAGGCUGCAUCGACUUGAUCUCCGACCACCACGAGCUCGUCCUUGGAAUCCCCUUGUAUCGCCACUGACAUCACGCCUGAAGAUCAAAGGCGGCUGCAACCUUCAUCGCCUUUUUCCUGCAUUUUUCGCAUUUGACGGAUAUCUUGAUAACAAUCUUCUUCUGGACAGAAACACCACCGACCCAUGAUUCAGAAUUGAGAAUUGUGAACAAAAGUGAAAUGCAUUUGCAUCGGACAAGAAAUGGUAUAUACCUUCAUGUUCCUUGAUGAUGCUUUGUUUUGGGGCAAGGAUGAGGGAGCUGAAUGAAUGACAUUUGGGGUUUAUAUCAUUAUCUGUGUUUUAUUCGAAUCGAAUGCCUUUGGGUUUGUGCUCAGCACGAAGGUUGAAGGGGCCGAGUCAACUGCAUCAACUUGGCUUUUAAAACUGAAAUAUUACAAGAUCGUUCUUGUUUUAUGUUUUGAAGUCAGAUUAUUGUCUCUUGCUGGAUGGAUGGUACACGUGGACAGUUUUCUUAGAAUUUUGUACACGGAUUAAUACGUGUGAUUGUGUAUUAUUUUAUUUGGGUCAUUCA
Long non-coding RNA from Tarenaya hassleriana, 574 nucleotides. RefSeq lists it as uncharacterized. The transcript has 2 exons. The record is from RefSeq and is a predicted model, not a curated record. Lineage: Eukaryota; Viridiplantae; Streptophyta; Magnoliopsida; Brassicales; Cleomaceae.